ACUAUCGGCAGCAUCUGAAGUCAUUAGUUAAUUUAAAUCUGGGAGUUCACACGCUGGCUUAUCAGGAGCUACCUCUGUUCCCGCUAAGCGCUUGCUCAGUGCCUUCUCUGGCUCCUAGAUCCUAUCUGCGCCUGCUUUGAAGCGAUGAUGGGCUGCCGAGCAGGCGAGGCACGCUGCCUGCUUCCCUGCCUGCUGGCAGGUGGGAGGGGAGAUGGAUCCUGCUUCACCCCCUCCCUGUGCUCCCCUUUUUGAACUGCUCCUCUGACUCAUCCAUUUCAUUUAUGUUUCCACCUUCGUUUCACGCAUAGCAAUUUGCCAGAGCGCUGGAAGGAGAAGGUGGCUCCAGUGAUGCUGCUGCAGCUUCCCCAGCUGCAAGGGGAGAUGCCCGGGUCCCAUGGGUGGGCUGGCAGCCAGGCUGAUGCUCUAUUCUGCUGCGGCUGGAAGACAUGAGCUCCCGAUUAAAGGAUAUUUCAACCAGACGGAGGGGCUGCGUCUGCCGGGGAACGUGCAGCAGGAGGGGACGGAGACAGGACGCGUGAGAGACGAGAGGAGAAAGCAAUUUACGCUGGAAUGUAAAUACGGCAGAGGCACGCUGCGCCGCGGGGCGCGUCGCUCCCUCCUGGCCCUGGGACCAGCGUGAGAGCUUGCCUGCGACAGCUCAGACCUCUUCCGUCCUUGCCGCCGCACGGGAGAGCCCACGUAUCGCCUGGGCACUGCGCAGAAGUGAGGAGAAGGAGGAGGGUUAGAGCCUGUUGCAGCAAGCCAGUCCCACCGCUGCUGCUCCUGCUUUCCACAGUGAGGGACCACAGGUCGCAUGUCCACUGGCAGAGGGAUAGAGUCUCAGCCAUCCCCUAAUAAUCCUAAGAAUCAAUAGCAGUGUCUCUAGGCCCCCUGAAUGUGCAGAACAGCUCAGAAUUAAGAGAACUUGUUAGCGGGAUUAACUCUGAAACCUAGUGACAACACUUUAAGUAUCUGUGCUAUCUAUAUCCUUGCUGCUCAUUCUAGCAGCCAGCUCUUCCUGAUGAGCUUUACUUAAAUGCACUAGGUUUGUCCUGUAAGAGCAAUCUCUGUGGAUAAAGAAGUGAGGUUUAAAGAUGUAAAUAUUCUGUGAGAUAUACCAAUUUAAAUGUCUUUUGUUGUUUCUUAGCCCGGCGUCCAGGGAUAAGUGUCUAAGGAAGCAAGGAAAGAUCCUCUAGAUUGUGAGACAGACAAACUUUAUUAAAAGAAAAGACCAAAUAAAAUAAAAAUACAAUUAUUUUAUUUUUUUUCCUUAAAAAAUACUGAAUUUGUAGAAGUUUCCUUCUGCUCACCCUGGGCAGUGUGAGCCCAGCUGGGCAGCAGGUCAGGUUCAUCUACUCCUCUCCCAUUGCAGAGCAUAGCUGGGGGAAGCCAUGCCCUCGUUGGCAGAUGUCAGAAGCAGCGGCACAGGGUGAACCCCAGCCAGCCCCCUCACUACUCAGGGCAGAGGGUUCAUGGCAGGUGACAAAGAGCCUCAAACAAGUCCUUAGAACACCCAGCUCAGGCUCGCAAUGGGCUCUUCUUCUGCCCCAAGGCUGGACCCCAAUGCAAGGAUCUGAGCUCAACGCAGAUGUUGAGAGAAUUCACACCCCAAGGCAGCGCGCCGAUGACUGCCUGAAAGGGUGCAGGCAGGAUGAGCCACAGGCGAGGCAGCUGCACCGGGGCGAGGGGACCAUCGCUGCCGCAGGCUCCGGCUCUCGCUUUGCAGCAGACUGUGCAACCAAACCCAGCGUGGGGAAAUCGAAACCCGGCUCAGCUGCCAGAUCCAUUAGGGAAGGAACCGGCCGUGCCUGGUGGAUGGCUAUCACGGGAGAGGCGGGGGUGCUGCCGGUGUGGUAGGGGCGCACAGCGGGGGAUUAAAUGGGAUAGUUAGGUGGAAAAGGUGUCCAGAGGAGCCAGGAGCCUACCCCACCCACCAGCAGGGCUGGAUGUGUUCCCAGGGAUGCUUUCUGCUGGCUUUAAGCUGCAAGAAGCAGAGCUUUUCCCUAGCAGCCAUACCCGGGGUUUGCAGUGGGUCACUGCAGGCGUGGAACAGCAGCCUGGCAGCCCUGGGACAAGGGUUUCCCACACACUCGAAGGCAGGGUGGUCUGCCCAUCUCCCAACUGCCACGGCAGCUGAGGUUCACCCUGCUUGUUCUGCUUUACUCACAUUUUAUUUCUUUAUACUCAGUUAGUGCUUUUAUAUUUGCUCAUCUGAGCACCACAGGCAGCACAGCAUCCCAUCACCCAGGCAAGGAAGGGGAUGGGAUGUGCCCUGCCAUGCCAGGGUGGUUGAGCUGGGCUGAAGUGCCAGGAGGAGAGAAGAACCAGGAGCAGCACCAGGCUCUUCCAGGUGGUAAUGCCACGAAGGUGUCCUCUCUGAAAUGCCACUGCAGGUCACGUUUGCUGCCACAUCCUGAUGCUAGUUAACCUCCUGUUGCAGCUCCCUGUCUUCGUGAAGCCAUGGUGCCCAGCGGUCAUCUUGCCGAGUGGAUACCCAUGUUUGAUCAUUUUGCUCCAGGCGUACGAGCUGCACGUAUCAAAGCUGAGCCACAUCUUAUCUCCUGGCUGUGUUCCUGUCUGUUCCCAACUCGGGAUUCCUGGCUGCA
Pezoporus occidentalis (night parrot) is the source of this 2606-nucleotide long non-coding RNA. RefSeq lists it as uncharacterized. The transcript is spliced from 3 exons. The record is from RefSeq and is a predicted model, not a curated record. NCBI's taxonomy places the organism in Eukaryota, Metazoa, Chordata, Aves, Psittaciformes, Psittacidae.